Molecule: ribosomal RNA, 305 nt
Filed under: uncultured bacterium
Lineage: Bacteria
Description: bacterial SSU rRNA
Rfam family: Bacterial small subunit ribosomal RNA
Source: RNAcentral
CUCGGGGGGCAGCAGUGGGGAAUAUUGCACAAUGGGGGAAACCCUGAUGCAGCGACGCCGCGUGAGUGAAGAAGUAUUUCGGUAUGUAAAGCUCUAUCAGCCGGAACGAGACAAGACGGUACCUGACUAAGAAGCCCCGGCUAACUACGUGCCAGCAGCCGCGGUAAUACGUAGGGGGCAAGCGUUAUCCGGAAUCACUGGGUGUAAAGGGAGCGUAGACGGCUGUGCAAGCCUGAAGUGAAAGGCGGGGGCCCAACCCCUGGACUGCUUUGGGCACUGGACGGCUGGAGUGAAGGGGAGGUAAG